RNAcentral lists this ribosomal RNA (385 nucleotides) under uncultured bacterium. Its description in RNAcentral is "bacterial SSU rRNA". It matches the Rfam family "Bacterial small subunit ribosomal RNA", at positions 30 to 419 of the family's 1533-position model. The record is from RNAcentral.
AUUGAACGCUGGCGGCAUGCCUUACACAUGCAAGUCGAACGGCAGCACGGGAGCAAUCCUGGUGGCGAGUGGCGAACGGGUGAGUAAUAUAUCGGAACGUGCCCAGUCGUGGGGAUAACGUAGCGAAAGCUACGCUAAUACCGCAUACGAUCUAUGGAUGAAAGCGGGGGAUCGCAAGACCUCGCGCGAUUGGAGCGGCCGAUAUCAGAUUAGGUAGUUGGUGAGGUAAAGGCUCACCAAGCCGACGAUCUGUAGCUGGUCUGAGAGGACGACCAGCCACACUGGGACUGAGACACGGCCCAGACNCCUACGGAGGCAGCAGUGGGAAUUUUGGACAAUGGACGCAAGUCUGAUCCAGCCAUUCCGCUGCAGGAUGAAGGCCCUC